CACUCCUGCGGGAGGCAGCAGUGGGGAAUUUUGGACAAUGGGCGAAAGCCUGAUCCAGCCAUGCCGCGUGCAGGAUGAAGGCCUUCGGGUUGUAAACUGCUUUUGUACGGAACGAAACGGCCUUUUCUAAUAAAGAGGGCUAAUGACGGUACCGUAAGAAUAAGCACCGGCUAACUACGUGCCAGCAGCCGCGGUAAUACGUAGGGUGCAAGCGUUAAUCGGAAUUACUGGGCGUAAAGCGUGCGCAGGCGGUUAUGUAAGACAGUUGUGAAAUCCCCGGGCUCAACCUGGGAACUGCAUCUGUGACUGCAUAGCUAGAGUACGGUAGAGGGGGAUGGAAUUCCGCGUGUAGCAGUGAAAUGCGUAGAUAUGCGGAGGAACACCGAUGGCGAAGGCAAUCCCCUGGACCUGUACUGACGCUCAUGCACGAAAGCGUGGGGAGCAAACAGGAUUAGAUACCCUAGUAGCCCAUG
Molecule: ribosomal RNA, 473 nt
Filed under: uncultured organism
Description: partial 16S ribosomal RNA
Rfam family: Bacterial small subunit ribosomal RNA
Source: RNAcentral